Molecule: ribosomal RNA, 301 nt
Filed under: uncultured bacterium
Lineage: Bacteria
Description: partial 16S ribosomal RNA
Rfam family: Bacterial small subunit ribosomal RNA
Source: RNAcentral
CAGUCGCCACGGUAAGACAGAGGAUGCAAGCGUUAUCCGGAAUUAUUGGGCGUAAAGGGCUCGCAGGCGGUUUCUUAAGUCUGAUGUGAAAGCCCCCGGCUCGACCGGGGAGGGUCAUUGGAAACUGGGAAACUUGAGUGCAGAAGAGGAGAGUGGAAUUCCACGUGUAGCGGUGAAAUGCGUAGAGAUGUGGAGGAACACCAGUGGCGAAGGCGACUCUCUGGUCUGUAACUGACGCUGAGGAGCGAAAGCGUGGGGAGCGAACAGGAUUAGAUACCCGCGUAGUCCCUGUCUCUUAUAC